This 206-nucleotide ribosomal RNA is filed under the name uncultured bacterium. Its description in RNAcentral is "partial 16S ribosomal RNA". It matches the Rfam family "Bacterial small subunit ribosomal RNA", at positions 1294 to 1500 of the family's 1533-position model. The record is from RNAcentral.
CGGAUUGAAGGCUGAAAUUCGCCUUCAUGAAGCCGGAAUUGCUAGUAAUGGCAGGUCAGCAUACUGCCGUGAAUACGUUCCCGGGCCUUGUACACACCGCCCGUCACACCAUGAGAGUUGGGAAUACCCGAAGCCUGUGAGCUAACUUUUAGAGGCAGCAGUCGAAGGUAGAAUCAAUGAUUGGGGUGAAGUCGUAACAAGGUAUC